This 18-nucleotide small nuclear RNA is filed under the name Arabidopsis thaliana (thale cress). RNAcentral's name for it is "snRNA_18525". Lineage: Eukaryota; Viridiplantae; Streptophyta; Magnoliopsida; Brassicales; Brassicaceae. The record is from RNAcentral.
AGCCAGUGGCGCGAAGCU